Long non-coding RNA from Cebus imitator (Panamanian white-faced capuchin), 4184 nucleotides. RefSeq lists it as uncharacterized. The transcript has 2 exons. The record is from RefSeq and is a predicted model, not a curated record. Lineage: Eukaryota; Metazoa; Chordata; Mammalia; Primates; Cebidae.
AGAGAUAGGGUCUUACUAUAUUGCCUAGGCUGGUCUCUAACUCCUGGGCUCAAGUGAUCCUCCUGCUGCAGCAUCCCAAAGUGUUGGGAUUACAGGCGUGAGCCACCGUGCCUGACCCAGGAUAGCGCAUUUUCCUUUCUUCUGCUCUCAAUUGGUUGGACCACUGGUUGCAUCUCUUUACACGCUCCCUGAAAAGCACAGAACUAUCAGACAGAAGACAAGGUAGUUCUCAAGAGGUCCCAGGCAGCUGUGUCUGCUAGAGGCCUCCUCAGCAAAGCCCCAUCUUGUCUACAAUCUCUUAGGAACUGCACGUGGGUUGGGAGCAGCUGACAGAGCAGGGAUCCAUAUAUCUUACACCAAAGCCACCAGUCCUUGCCACCAUAUACAACCUUCCCUUUAGAAUAUAUUUAUCUGGACUUUUACUUAUAGCUGCAAACAUAUCAUUGGCUACUAUACUCAAGCAUCAACUCAAGGAACAUUUGGUUUUCUGGUGACUACAGCUGAAGAACAACCAGCUAGUUACUGAUCCAACUGAGUACCUUCCAGUUGCCAGUUGCAUCCUGGCCCUUCUUUGGAAGUUAUAAUGAUGAAUAUCCAUUAAUAAGAGAUUGAUGCUCUUUUAACUCUCAUGUCAUCUGUACCAUCUUAAUGGAGAGGAUGGUCUUGGAUAAGGUUGGGAUGGAAAGGAAACAUCUGGAAGUCCACUCCAAUAUCUUAUAUGCUGUGUGAAAGUCUGGGGUUAGGAAAUAUUCUGAGGGAGAACUUCCUAAGGAAUGACUUUUGGUUCCUUUAUGCUUUAACAACACACCAAAAGUAUCCCAUGAGACUAUGAGCAGGACACAGCAUUGUUUCUCACCUUGGGCUCUGACUAUUAUCUACUUCUCAGGACAGAUGACUCUGGUUAAGUCACUCAAUAAAGAAAUAUUUUUGUGUACAUAAUCUGAACCUGAAGGCUAUUACUGAAGAGGAUGCAUCUGACAACAAGACUUAAUUUACUUUCAGAGUAAGGACCAGGAGAAAGUAAAUUUUCUUAUGUUUUUAACUGUAUCAUUUUACAAAGAUUCUUUUCCCUUAAAAAAUAAAAAAGCUGAUGUGAUGGGUUCCUUCAGCCAACAAAUAAUUACUGAGCAGUUAUUGUGUGCUAGACACUGCUUGUGGUGUGAGAAUAUGGCACUGAACAAAACAAUGGAUGUACUUUCAUCAAGCUUACAUUCUAAUGAGGAAGAUAAGCAAAACAAGUAAGUGAAUAUAAUUUCAAAUGUGAAUAAAUGCUGUGCAGAAAAUAAAGCAGAGUAUUAUAGAUGGAUAACGACUUGGGCAUAAGGUGGUAUUUUAGGAAGGCUGAUCAGAGGUGAUAUUUAAGCACAAAUACAAAUGUUGAGAAGGAGUGAACUGUGAGCAUACCAGGCAGAGGGAAGAGCUAGUAUAAAGGCCCUCAUGCAGGAACAAGCUCAGCUUAUUUUAAGAACAGUAAGAAUAGUGUCUGAAGCAUAUUGAGUAUGGAGAGCAUGAUAGAUGAUGAUGCCAGAAAGUUAGGCCAGUGCCAAAUUGUGUUAGGAUUAUAUGGGCCAAAGGGAUUCUGGAGUCUUACUGUGAGUGUGCUGGGAAGACACUGGAUAGUUUUAAGCAAGGGAGUGACACAUCUGAAUGGCAUGUUUAAAAAGGUUAUCUCUUCUACUGAGUGGACAGUAAGCUGUAAGGAGCAAGAGUAGAAGAAAGGAAUUCAGUUAGGACACUAUUUUAGGGAACCCAAGUAAGAAAUGGAGACUUAAACUAGGAUGGUAGCAGAGAUGGUAAGAAGUUAUAUUGGGAGUAGAGUUUAUUGGUUGUACUGAUGAAUUGAAUAGAAGAGAUUAAAACAAAAGAGGAUUCACAGGUAACUCCAAGGUUUUUGUCCUGAGUAACUACAUGAUACCAUGAGCUGAAGUAUGUCAGACUGAGCAGGGUAAGGGCAAAGACAUGUUGAGAGAGAAAAAUCAAGAGCUCUACUUUACACAUGUUAAGUUUGUCUAUUGGACAUCUAAGGUGUAGUGUCAUUUAAAUAGUUGGUUAUCUAGAGCUCAGAGGAAAAGUUAUGACUGAAAAUAAGGAGGGCUUAAAACUCUAGGACUCGAUAAGAUUACCUAGAGUAUUAGUGUAGUUAGAAAGGUGACAAGGAUGGGGCCCUAAGUACUAGGCCAACUCUAACAUUUAUAGGUAGAGAACAAAAGGAAGAACCAGCAAAAGAGACUAAGUAGUUGCCAGUGAAUUAGGAAGAAAACCAGGAAGGUGUCUGUAAGAUACCUGUGAUAAAUUAAAAAUGCAUUCUAUUAACUCUAGAGCAACCACUAAAAAUCACUUUUUAAAGAGGCAGGGCUAAUAAGGCAAACUAGAGAUGGAAUAUCAAAAAUAUACUCAAUCAAAAAGCAGGAAAAGAAGAAAGAGUAAACAAAGGACAUAGGGACAAAUGGAAACAAAGAGCAAGAUAGUAGACUUAAACCCAAACAUGUCACCAAUUACAUUAAAUGUAAAUGAUCUAAACACUGUAAUUAAAGGGCAGAGAUUAUCAGAGAUUAUUAGCAGCAAGAGCAAUUACAUGCUGUCUACAAGGGAAACCACUAUAAGACAGACUUAAGUUUAAAAAGUAAAAGGGUAGAAAAGAUGUACUAUGCAAAUAUUAGUCAUGAAAAAAUGGGAGUGAUUAUAUCAUUGGGGAGCAGAGGAAUAUUUCAUAAUGAUAAAGAGGCCAAUCAAUUCAUCAAGAAGAUUAAUUGAAUUCAUCAACAAGGUAAUCCUAAAUGUGUGUGCAUUAAAUAACAGUGCCUCAAACUAUAUAAAUCAAAAACUAUCACUGAAAGAAAAAUAGAAAACCCACAAUUGUAUAUAGAUGUUUCAAUGCUCCUCUCUUAGUAACUGAUAUAACAAGUUAAUGGAAAAAUAUAGAUGACCUGAAUAACACUAUCAGCAACCUUAAUUGACAGUUAUAAAAUGCUUCAUCUGCUGUAGCCGAAUACACAUUCUUCUUAAGUGCACAUGCAACAUUUACCUCAAAUGUGUUGCACAAAAAUAAGUCUCAGUGAUUUUAGAGGAAUUAAAAACAUUAAAAAGUUGUCUGACCACAGUGAAGUUAAAUCAGAAAUCAACAGAUACCUGAGAAUAUCCCCAAUAGUUGGAAAUUAAAUAACAUUUCUAAAUAAUGCAUGGAUUAAUAAAGACACAAAGGAAAUUAGAAAAUAUUUUGAGUAAAAAUGAAAACUGUAUCACAAUGUGUAGGGUAGAGUACAUAAAGAUUUAUAACUUGAAAGUUUAAAUUAGAAGAGAAGUCUACAUUAAGAAACUAGGAAAAGGAGCAAAAUAAGCCCAAAGUAAGCAGAAAAAAUAAAGAUAAGAGCAGAAAUCAAUGGAACAGAAAAUGGAAAACAAUGGAAAAAAUCAAUCAAAAACUGGUUCUUUGAAAAAGAUUAAUAACUGCUCAAGACUGUUAAAGGAAGAAAAAAACUAAGAUACAAAUUACCAGCACCAAAAAUCAGAGGGAACAUUGGAAUAGAUUCUAAACAAAUUAAAAGGAUAAUACAUUGCUAUGAUCUGAUCUGAAUUUUUGUGUGCCUCCCCUGCCAAAUUUAUGUGUUGAAACUUAAUCCCCAGUGCCUUGGUAUUGGCAGGUGGAGUAUCUGGCAGUUAAUUAGUUCAUGAGCAGAGCUCUCAUGAUUGGGAUUAGUGUCAUUAUAAGACACCUGAGAGAGAGUUCAUUUGUGCCUUCUACCAUGAGAGGACACUUAGAAGGUGCCAUCUAUAAGGAUUGGGCCCCCUCACCAGACACCAAAUCUGCUGGCACCUAGAUCUUCGAUUUUCCAGCCUCCAGAACUGUGAGCAAUAAAUUUCUAUUAUUUAUAAAUUGCCAGUCUAAGAUAUUUUGGUAUAGCAGCCCGAACAGACUAAGAAGUAUGAACUUUAUAACAAUAAUUUGUGUAACUUGCAUGAAAUGAGCACAAUCCCUGAAAGACACAAAUUGACAAAACUGCCUGAAGAAGAAAUGGAAAAUCUGAAUACUCUUGUAUCUGUUAAAGAAAGUUGUAAUUUAAAAUGUUUUGCAAAGAAGUAUCUAUGUCAAUAUAGUUUUACUGGUUAGUUCUAUCAAGGAAGAAAUAAUACCAAUCUUAUUCAAACCCUUUUCAGAAAAUAAAAGGGGACGAGGUAUGUUUCAA